RNAcentral lists this ribosomal RNA (408 nucleotides) under uncultured bacterium. RNAcentral's name for it is "partial 16S ribosomal RNA". It matches the Rfam family "Bacterial small subunit ribosomal RNA", at positions 28 to 526 of the family's 1533-position model. The record is from RNAcentral.
GACGAACGCUGGCGGCGUGCUUAACACAUGCAAGUCGAACGGAGUGGCGAACGGGUGAGUAACACGUUGUUGAUCUGCCUUGCACUCUGGGAUCAGCUUGUGCAACUGCGUCUAAUACCGGAUAGUUCAGGAUGAGCUCGCGGCCUAUCAGCUUGUUGUUGGGGUAAUGGCCUACCAAGGCGUCGACGGGUAUCCGGCCUGAGAGGGUGUACGGCGACAUUGGGACUGAGAUACGGCCCAGACUCCUACGGGAGGCGGCAGUGGGGAAUAUUGCACAAUGGGCGGAAGCCUGAUGCAGCGACGCCGCGUGGGGGAUGACGGCCUUCGGGUUGUAAACUCCUUUCGACAGGGACGCGGUACCUGUAUAAGAAGCACCGGCUAACUACGUGCCAGCAGCCGCGGUAAUGC